GCAUAUCUCUUCAAAGGAAUGAAGAAAUAAAGAGAUCCAUAAGGGAAGCCCAGAAUCCCACUGUUGAUAAGUCCAACGGAAAUCAGACAAUCUUUCUAAAGGUAUGAAAUGAUCAAUAAAAUGCAGAUUCCAGAAAA
Sphaerodactylus townsendi is the source of this 137-nucleotide long non-coding RNA. RefSeq lists it as uncharacterized. Lineage: Eukaryota; Metazoa; Chordata; Lepidosauria; Squamata; Sphaerodactylidae. The transcript is spliced from 3 exons. The record is from RefSeq and is a predicted model, not a curated record.